CCUACGGGUGGCAGCAGUGAGGAAUAUUGGUCAAUGGCCGCGAGGCUGAACCAGCCAAGUCGCGUGAGGGAAGAAUGUCCUAUGGAUUGUAAACCUCUUUUGUCGGGGAGCAAAGUCACCCACGUGUGGGUGUUGGAGAGUACCCGAAGAAAAAGCAUCGGCUAACUCCGUGCCAGCAGCCGCGGUAAUACGGAGGAUGCGAGCGUUAUCCGGAUUUAUUGGGUUUAAAGGGUGCGUAGGCGGGUGAUCAAGUCAGCGGUAAAAUUGUGGAGCGCAACUCCAGCCAGCCGUUGAAACUGAUAGUCUCGAGUGGGAGAGAAGUAUGCGGAAUGCGUGGUGUAGCGGUGAAAUGCAUAGAUAUCGCGCAGAACUCCGAUUGCGAAGGCAGCAUGCCGGCGCCAGACUGACGCUGAGGCACGAAAGCGUGGGUAUCGAACAGGAUUAGAUACCCUUGUAGUC
RNAcentral lists this ribosomal RNA (459 nucleotides) under uncultured bacterium. Its description in RNAcentral is "partial 16S ribosomal RNA". It matches the Rfam family "Bacterial small subunit ribosomal RNA", at positions 338 to 795 of the family's 1533-position model. The record is from RNAcentral.